UCUCGGGUAGCCUUCAGCAGAGCUUGUACCGGUACAAGGUUGAUGGCUGUACUGGUACAAGGCUGGUGAUUGUACCGGCACAGGGUGCUUGUACCGGUACAGGGCCGGUUACCCCGCCAACCCGAGCCUCGGGUUGUGAUUUUCGUGGGGCUUGUACCGGUACAAGGGCCCGUGUACCGGUACAAGGAGGCUGAUUUCGUGCAGUUUGAACUACAGGGGUGUUUUUGCAAUUGUGGACCUCUUAUUUAAACCCCCCACGCCCUAGGGGCUUCUCCUGAGCUUGGGACCAGCAAGAGGAGAGGUAAGGGAGCCUUCACACCCUCCCCCUCCAUUUCUUUGAUUUUGGUUGGAUUUUUAAGAGAUUAAACCCCUCUUUUGCUCUUUUUUGGUCAUUGGAGGCAUUUCCACCAUUAGAGCUUGGGCUUCGAGCUUGUUGGAGGAGAGAUUCUUGGACCUUGAGGACUUUGAACCUUGUUGGAAGCUUCUAAGAGGUUGGUAGCUUAUUCUCUCCCUCUAGAUUUUGGUUUUGAAGCUUUAUACUAGAUGAAACCCUAGAAUGAGAGUUUAGGGUUGUUUUUGGGGCUUUUUGAUUAGAGGCUUUUGGAACCAAUCUAAUGGGAUUAGAACUUUGUAUUAGGUUCCUUUGAAUGAGAUUUGGCCUCCAUUUGAACCUUGGAGAGGGAUUUUUACUCAUUAGGUGAGUUUUAGCCCUUUUGCUAUAAUUGUUAAUGUUUGAUCUUAUAGUUGAUCGUAAUGCCCGUGUAUCUCUUCGCUCAAUACUUUUAGGGUGAUUUGAGACUCGUGGACAACUUCGUUCGGCGAGACGAGGCACUACGCGACAGUUCGGUGGGUUUUACCUAGCCACACAAUGAGAAAUUCUCAUUUGUGAUGAAUUAAGUAUCGUUAAUUAAAAAAGCAUGCAUAUUCUUGUUAUAUGCAUUUAUUGUGAAUUUUAGAAUGCUUAAAAUGCCUAUGUUACAUAUGAUGAAAUUUUGGACCUCUAUGUAGUAGAGAGUUGCUUGGGAGAUCUAUGGUUGCAUUUAGCAUUCUAUAUGAGACUUGGUUUCAUGCUUCUAUAGUGUAAAUGAGCUUGGAUUCAUGCAUUUAAACCUAAGUUUAUUUGAGACAUGAAAGAUGACAAAAUUGCCAUAUAGGGGUAUCGAACUAGAAUGCAUGUGAAUUAGUGAGCUAAUGUCAUUAAGCGGCAUUGAGCUCGGAUUAUGUGUGAACCUAGUGGUUAGAGCCAUUGCGGGAUUUGGUUUAUGUUGAACAUUAAAUUGCCUAAGUGUCAUCAAGGGGCACUAGGCGUAGUGAGUGUUUGGAACUUCGCUUUGUGACUUAACUAGAUCUUCGGGAUGCUAGUGACGAUACCAUGUUAGAGACAUGAGGUUUGGGUACUUGAGACUUGGACUAUGCUUGCUUGCCAUUUGUGCUCAUUCGCACAUGCUUGUGAGGGUCGCUCCCUACAAGCCGGCACUCCGGAGUUAGCCUACGCGACCUAUGUUCGCUCGUGCGGUAUUGAGAAGCCUACGGGGUCGAGUGGGACAGACACAUUCCAAGAGUAGGAAUGUUGGGCUACCACAGGCACUUAGGCGGCACAAGCUGGACUACCUUUGGUAGGUCCUUAAUUGGAAAUGAAAAUCGACACGGUGUUGAGUUUAUUAUAAUCACUACUAGAUAGAGACUAGUAGUUGGAUUACUUGGACUUGCUUCUAGCAUAGUUUUGGGUACUUGGAUAUACAUACAU
This 1747-nucleotide long non-coding RNA is filed under the name Ananas comosus (pineapple). RNAcentral describes it as "long non-coding RNA (ACOM_LNC035482)". Lineage: Eukaryota; Viridiplantae; Streptophyta; Magnoliopsida; Poales; Bromeliaceae. The record is from RNAcentral.